This is a long non-coding RNA of Ficedula albicollis (Collared flycatcher), 956 nucleotides long. RefSeq lists it as uncharacterized. NCBI's taxonomy places the organism in Eukaryota, Metazoa, Chordata, Aves, Passeriformes, Muscicapidae. The transcript has 2 exons. The record is from RefSeq and is a predicted model, not a curated record.
CGGGCCCUUCCCGACCCCGGCUCUGAGAGAAGUUUGUGGAAUUAAGGAUUCAGAGAAGAGGACAAAAGCUGGUGAAGGGUCUGCAGUCUCACUUAAACACUGCCUGCCCCAACAUGGCAGCCAGCUGUGUCCUUAGCCACAGCUGCAGGGACGAGCAGAGACAGUGCACGACCACUAACAGUGCAUUGCCAGCAAUAGAGGUCAGUCCAAGAGGGAUCCAACUGCAAUCCUGAAGUGCACAGAGGGAGCAUACCAGUGUCUCUGGAAUCCAAGCUAAGAUGGCUCUGGAAAUGAUUAUCUGACAAGACUGUUGGUGUUGAAUUGCUGGCAUGAUGACGGUAGAUGAUUAAACUUCUCUGUCCAGAUGUACUGUACUUUACCUUUAGGCUGUACAGUGACAAUUUAAGUAGAAGCAUUAAACCUCAAGGGGAAUACAUCCAAACUUCAAAUCCACACAUUUGAUUGUCUUGACUUGCUCUAGCUAUCACGGAGUAACUUCAAUAAAUCACUUCAGAAACAGAAUGUUUUUGAAGAGGGGAAAAGGGUGAAGGACAGUAAGGAUCAGAGCUGAGAAAUAGUCUUGUGCCUGACCAUGUAAUAAAGCUUUCAGAACACAGUGAAGCAGAACUUCAGGCUUUCCCUUCCGCCAUAUAUGACACCCAACAAAAGAAAUAACAAAGAGAACAAACAACAAGCUUGCACCACAGAAUUCAUUUUGCCAACUCACAGGUAGAUAAGCUUUAGGAUUUGCAUCACCAAUGGCAGAUGAAACAUGGUGCAGUUUAGAUUCUCUAUUUCUUAAAUUCAGAGGAGCCCAGGUGAAUUGACAAGCCAAAACCCAUGAAGUUUUUCACUUUACUCCAAUAACAAAGCACCAAAGCAGAAUGAAAAAACUUUCCCAAAGAAGAAGCUAACACUGCUUUAGGUCUGAUUUCAGGUUUAUAACAAACAAACAA